CCGUGCUAGACGGGGAGGUAGCGGUGCCCUGUAACUCGCAAUCCGCUGUAGCGAGGUUGAAUUCCUGUUUGAGGUGUGGUUACGCAGUUCCGACAUGUCGCUUGUCGCGUUGAUCCCGGAGUCCUCCGCAAGGGACGCCCAUGAACCCGGUCAGGUCCGGAAGGAAGCAGCCGUAAGUGGUCACGUUCUUGUGUUGGAGGGUCGCUUCGGGGGAGCGGCGGCGGCAUGUACGGCUGGAUGGCCAUGAUCGAGGACAGGUGCACGG
Molecule: signal recognition particle RNA, 265 nt
Filed under: Cohnella algarum
Lineage: Bacteria; Bacillati; Bacillota; Bacilli; Caryophanales; Paenibacillaceae
Also listed under: 1 other name
Description: signal recognition particle sRNA large type
Rfam family: Bacterial large signal recognition particle RNA
About the family: The signal recognition particle (SRP) is a universally conserved ribonucleoprotein involved in the co-translational targeting of proteins to membranes. Archaeal SRP consists of a 7S RNA and homologues of the eukaryotic SRP19 and SRP54 proteins. In most bacteria, the SRP consists of a 4.5S RNA and the Ffh protein (a homologue of the eukaryotic SRP54 protein).
Source: RNAcentral